RNAcentral lists this ribosomal RNA (220 nucleotides) under uncultured bacterium. Its description in RNAcentral is "partial 16S ribosomal RNA". It matches the Rfam family "Bacterial small subunit ribosomal RNA", at positions 99 to 334 of the family's 1533-position model. The record is from RNAcentral.
CGGACGGCUGAGUAAUGCACAGGAACGUACCUUACAGUGGGGAAUAGCCCAUCGAAAGAUGGGGUAAUACCGCAUAUGCUCGCAAGAGUAAAGCCGCAAGGCGCUGAAAGAACGGCCUGUGUCCUAUCAGGUAGUUGGCGGGGUAAAGGCCCACCAAGCCUAUGACGGGUAACUGGUCUGAGAGGAUGAUCAGUCAGAUCGGAACUGAGACACGGUCCGA